Molecule: ribosomal RNA, 127 nt
Filed under: Mucor fragilis
Lineage: Eukaryota; Fungi; Mucoromycota; Mucoromycetes; Mucorales; Mucoraceae
Description: 5.8S ribosomal RNA
Rfam family: 5.8S ribosomal RNA
About the family: 5.8S ribosomal RNA (5.8S rRNA) is a component of the large subunit of the eukaryotic ribosome. It is transcribed by RNA polymerase I as part of the 45S precursor that also contains 18S and 28S rRNA.
Source: RNAcentral
CAACUUUUAACAACGGAUCUCUUGGUUCUCGCAUCGAUGAAGAACGUAGCAAAGUGCGAUAACUAGUGUGAAUUGCAUAUUCAGUGAAUCAUCGAGUCUUUGAACGCAACUUGCGCUCAUUGGUAUU